Molecule: long non-coding RNA, 452 nt
Organism: Cucumis melo (muskmelon)
Lineage: Eukaryota; Viridiplantae; Streptophyta; Magnoliopsida; Cucurbitales; Cucurbitaceae
Exons: 2
Source: RefSeq, a predicted model, not a curated record
CCUUGGUUCCAUCAUCUUCUUCAUUAUUCAACUUUCUGAGCACGGACGUUUCUGCAACUAUUGGCAACUGCAUUUUGAUCAGUGACGACAAGCAUUUCUUCCUAAUCAAUAAUAAGGUUCGUUCGAUCAACAACAUUAAAUACAAUGUAAUAGUUGGUGAUAAACAAUUCAUAAAGCAACUGAACUUGGGAUCUUGUCCCCGUUGAGUUUGGAAUUUCCAUUAACAUAGAUACUUAUGCUUAUGCUUUUUUCUAUUGUUAUGCAAGAGCAUUGUUGUCAACAUAUAGGGAUUGUGUUCGACCUGCUGGAAUUCAUUCAAAUUGAAGAGAACAAUAUCUUUAUAUCAAUAAAAUGAAACCAAUGUCUUUGUUUAUAUUCAUCCUUAAAUUGAAACAUAAGUUUGUAUGAAUUUAAACAUAUGAAAUACAAAUUUACGCACACUGAUAUACAGU